AGUGGCGCACGGGUGAGUAACGCGUAGAUGAUCUACCCUUCAGUCUGGGACAACUCUUGGAAACGGGAGCUAAUACCGGAUAAAACCUUCGGGUUGAAAGAUUUAUCGCUGGGGGAUGAGUCUGCGUACCAUUAGCUUGUUGGUGGGGUAACGGCCUACCAAGGCGACGAUGGUUAGCGGGUCUGAGAGGACGAUCCGCCACACUGGAACUGAGACACGGUCCAGACUCCUACGGGAGGCAGCAGUAGGGAAUAUUGCGCAAUGGGGGCAACCCUGACGCAGCAAUGCCGCGUGAGUGAAGAAGGCCUUCGGGUCGUAAAGCUCUUUUAUGGGGGAAGAUGAUGACGGUACCCCAUGAAUAAGCACCGGCUAACUACGUGCCAGCAGCCGCGGUAAUACGAAGGGACCUAGCGUAGUUCGGAAUUACUGGGCUUAAAGAGCUCGUAGGUGGUUAAAAAAGUUGAUUGUGAAAUCCCAAGGCUUAACCUUGGAACUGCAAUCAAAACUUUUUAGCUAGAGUGUGAUAGAGGAAAGUGGAAUUUCUAGUGUAGAGGUGAAAUUCGUAGAUAUUAGAAAGAACACCAAAUGCGAAGGCAACUUUCUGGAUCAUUACUGACACUGAGGAGCGAAAGCAUGGGUAGCGAAGAGGAUUAGAUACCCUCGUAGUCCAUGCUGUAAACGAUGUGUGCUAGACGUUGGAAGCAUAGCUUUCAGUGUCGCAGCGAAAGCAUUAAGCACACCGCCUGGGGAGUACGACCGCAAGGUUAAAACUCAAAUGAAUUGACGGGGACCCGCACAAGCAGUGGAGCAUGUGGUUUAAUUCGAAGAUACGCGCAGAACCUUACCAACACUUGACAUGUUCGUCGCGAGCCUAAGAGAUUAGGCUUUUCAGUUUGGCUGGACGAAACACAGGUGCUGCAUGGCUGUCGUCAGCUCGUGUCGUGAGAUGUUGGGUUAAGUCCCGCAACGAGCGCAACCCUCACUUUUAGUUGCCAUCAUUAAGUUGGGCACUCUGAAAGAACUGCCAGUGAUAAGCUGGAGGAAGGUGGGGAUGACGUCAAGUCCUCAUGGCCCUUACGUGUUGGGCUACACACGUGCUACAAUGGUAUCUACAACAGGAAGCAAAACGGCGACGUUUAGCAAAUCCUUAAAAGAUACCUCAGUUCGGAUUGCACUCUGCAACUCGAGUGCAUGAAGCUGGAAUUACUAGUAAUCGUGGAUCAGCGUGCCACGGUGAAUGCGUUCCCGGGUCUUGUACACACCGCCCGUCACACCAUGGGAGUUGGUUCUACCUUAAGGC
RNAcentral lists this ribosomal RNA (1300 nucleotides) under uncultured bacterium. RNAcentral describes it as "partial 16S ribosomal RNA". It matches the Rfam family "Bacterial small subunit ribosomal RNA", at positions 94 to 1428 of the family's 1533-position model. The record is from RNAcentral.